Molecule: ribosomal RNA, 751 nt
Filed under: uncultured archaeon
Lineage: Archaea
Description: bacterial SSU rRNA
Rfam family: Archaeal small subunit ribosomal RNA
Source: RNAcentral
UCAGUAACACGUGGAUAAUCUGCCCUUCGGUGGAGGAUAAUCUCGGGAAACUGAGGAUAAUACUCCAUAGAUCUAAAGUGCUGGAAUGCUUUUAGAUCGAAAGAUUUAUCGCCGAAGGAUGAGUCUGCGGACUAUCAGGUUGUAGUCAGGGUAAUGACCUGACUAGCCUACGACGGAUACGGGUAGUGAGAGCUAUAGCCCGGAGAUGAUAUCUGAGACACGAUAUCAGGCCCUACGGGGCGCAGCAGGCGCGAAAACUUUGCACUGUGCGAAAGCACGACAAGGGGAUCCCAAGUGUUGGCUCGUAAGAGUCAUCUGUUUCUUUGUCUAAAAAACAAAGAGAGUAAGGGCUGGGUAAGACGGGUGCCAGCCGCCGCGGUAAUACCUGCAGCCCAAGUGGUGGCCGUUAUUAUUGGGCCUAAAACGUCCGUAGCCGGUUUUGUAAAUGCCUAGGUAAAUCGUACGGCUUAACCGUACGAAUUCUGGGUAGACUGUAAAACUUGAGAUCGGGAGUGGCUAGAGGUACUCCUGGGGUAGAGGUGCAAUUCUGUAAUCCUAGGGGGACCACCAGUGGCGAAGGCGUCUAGCUAGAACGAGUCUGACGGUGAGGGACGAAGCCCUGGGGCGCAAACGGGAUUAGAUACCCCGGUAGUCCAGGGUGUAAACGCUGCUCGCUUGAUGUUAGUCGGGCUCCGAGCCCAACUAGUGUCGGAAAGAAGUUGUUAAGCGAGCUGCCUGGGGAGUACGGUCG